Molecule: ribosomal RNA, 587 nt
Filed under: uncultured bacterium
Lineage: Bacteria
Description: partial 16S ribosomal RNA
Rfam family: Bacterial small subunit ribosomal RNA
Source: RNAcentral
UGGGGAAUUUUGGACAAUGGGCGCAAGCCUGAUCCAGCCAUGCCGCGUGCGGGAAGAAGGCCUUCGGGUUGUAAACCGCUUUUGUCAGGGAAGAAAUCUUCUGAGUUAAUACCUCGGGAGGAUGACGGUACCUGAAGAAUAAGCACCGGCUAACUACGUGCCAGCAGCCGCGGUAAUACGUAGGGUGCAAGCGUUAAUCGGAAUUACUGGGCGUAAAGCGUGCGCAGGCGGUUUUGUAAGACAGAGGUGAAAUCCCCGGGCCACUACUGGGAACUGCCUUUGUGACUGCAAGGCUUGAGUGCGGCAGAGGGGGGAUGGAAUUCCGCGUGUAGCAGUGAAAUGCGUAGAUAUGCGGAGGAACACCGAUGGCGAAGGCAAUCCACUGGGCCUGCACUGACGCUCAUGCACGAAAGCGUGGGGAGCAAACAGAUUAGAUACCCUGGUAGUCCACGCCCUAAAACGAUGUCAACUGGCUGUUGGGAAGGUUCCUUCUCAGUAACGUAGCUAACGCGUGAAGUUGACCGCCUGGGGAGUACGGCCGCAAGGUUGAAACUUAAAUGAAUUGACGGGGUCAUAGCUGUUUCCUG